ACAAACCUUGUUCUACUCUCAUUUGACUUAUGAGCAAUCUUUGAUUUUUGCUCCUCUGGGGAAAUUGGAAAUCAUUAUAUUAUGGUAUUGUGGUGUUGGAAAUCAUUAUAAAUAUGGAUGACAUUUACUGGAGAGAGUAUUUCAGGUCUGAGUUUCUGAAAGAAAGUACAACUGUACAUUGAAAAUAGUAGAAGAGAAAACAGACCAUGGUUUAAUGAGAAUUCCUCAUUACCUCGUGUGCUUUGGCAGGGAGUGGGGAAAAAACUCAAAUUGCAGGACAGUCUCUCUAAGGCUCACUGUGGCUCCAGUUCACCAUUUUAUAGUGUUGCAUGUGUAGAACAUAGCUGUUGCUGUUUUUGUUUUUAAUUUAAGUCACUGAGGCACUGUUUUCUUCUUUUGUAAAAAUGAAGUUGUUCACUGUGCACUUAUAGAGAAAAUAAUCAAAAAUGUUGUGAUUUUAGAAGUUCUUUUUUUGAUAAACCAGAAAUUUAGAAGUCAUUCCAUUGUUAUUGUUAGCUUGUAAAAAUGUGUGAACAUAGAGUGGUUUUGGUGACUGCUACUCUAAAAGCUGCCAGAUCUUAUUCAGGGGAUGGGUGCAUCUAUCUAUAGACAUGUGCAUGUUGUAAGUGCGUGUACCUGUACACGCACAUAUGUAUGCAUACCUACCCAUGUGUGUGUGUGCAUAUGUCUUGAAAUCAGUGUUACAGAGUUCUGUACCAAAAACCUUUAUCCCUCAAACUGCUGUGAAUGAUACCUGGCCUUUCUCACUAUGAAUUCUGAUUAACCAACCAGACUACACAUUGCCUCUCUGUGUAUGACUAAGGGCUCCAGCCCAAUGACCCACAGCCACUUGCUUACCGUGGACAGGCUCCUCUUGGCAAUGAGAUGGAUAUGAAAAGACAGAAUGGCUCCACCAUUAGUUGCUGCCAAUGGUAAUACAGUCUUUUUUAGAAGAGCAUAAAAAAGAAUAUGAAAAUUGCUUUACAUUCCUUGAUCUGAACUGAGCUUGAAAUGAUUUGCAUGGUAGAUUAUUUAUUUUGCUUCUAUGUCAGUCAUCAGAACCAAAAAUCUAGAGGAAAAAACUACCAUGAAGAUUAAGUGAUGGGGAAGAGACCUUAUUGACACAUUCCAUGCAUUGGUUUAUUCCUCAGAUGUGAUGUUGGAUUUUAGUCUUGACAAAGCUUGCUAUCAGCACACUUACCAGGUGCCACAUUGUGCUAUUUGUGUGUUAUUUUCUCCUCUUACUUCCUUUGGAAAACAAACUCACAUGGCUUCCCUAUUCUGAGAUCUUGGUCUCAGUGGUAAUAAUUUUUUCCCCUUGGGAAUUUCUAUCUGAGGGAUUAGACCCAGUUUGGAAGCCUCUGUACUUGGCUAGACUGUGCCUUUUCAUUGGGAUAUUUUUGGGCUAUUGCCCAAGUCUAAUAUACAAGCCUCACAGCAGACAGAAGAUAGGAUGAUUAAUCUUUGCUACUGCAAGCCAACAGAGUUAAAAGAGCAGAUCCCUGGGUAAUUGGUCUUAGGCUUCUCCCUCAGUCUCUAUGCACCAUAGUCACCCUGUGCCUUCAUAGCUCUGAUGAGAGGCUGAGGGAGAAAACUGGAGAUACUUUGGAGGGAAUCAAUGAAGAUGCCUGUUCCCUGUAGUUCAGAAAAUUGGUAAUUCAUUUUAAUUCAUCUGUCUGCUGCUGGAGAUUUUUACUUUAAAUUUUUAUAGACAGUUGUGAGCUCUUUUGUAGUAACAAAUUGGGCAUGACUAAAAGGUAAACAAAAAGAUGGCCACAUGCAAGUUUAAUGUUCCUUGAGCCUAAAGAUGACCACAUGUAGUUAAGGCCCCUGAAGACCUCAUGAUGAUGCAGAUAUGCAGGCCUGUGCAGCCAUUCCUAAUGUUGCUACAGCCUAGUAGAUUCAUCAGUAUCCAACGCAUCCUGAAAAUUCAUCUGUGCAAGCAUACUCUGUAAGCCGGUGCUCAUUAGUAGCUUCUAGCAACAUUAUUGACAUAGUACAUGUUCUAUCAUGGGGAGAGAGGGUGGAAGAGAGAAGAAAGGUCAAAGAGAGAGAGGAAGAAAAGAAAAAAGAAAGGAAGUUGGAAAGGAGGAAGGAAGGAACAAAGGAAGGAAGGGAGGGAGGAAGGAAGGAACGAAGGGAAGGAAGGAAGGAAUGAAGGGAGGAAAUCAGGAAGGAAGGAAGGGAAGAAGGAAAAAGAAGGGGAGGGAAAGAAGGAAAGAAUAGAAGGACCCAAAUUCCUAAUCUAUUCUUAGUUCAGCUAAGAGAGUGAGGGCGAACCUUUUCGAGACCAAGUGCCAAACUGCAGCCCCAAAUCCACUUCUUUAUCACAAAGUGCCAACACUGCAACUAAACCUGAAUACUGAGGUUAUAGUUUAGAAAAAUAACUCAUACAUUAACAUGUUUUGUCUUAAAAGAAGAACAGUAACACACAUGCAUAGGCUUGCCAUCACUGAGCUAAAAUGCAACAUUAUAAAAAAUGAAUGGCAAACUUGUAAAUGUGAAGUCAUUCUUAACAGUGCAAUGACUGCAGUAGUACAUGUGGAAAUCAAAACAGCCUAUACCCAAGCAGGCAAUGGGUUGUGAACUGACAAUUAUUCUGUUUUAAAUCAUUUAUUUCCAAUGUUGUGAAAAACCAAAAAUCCUAUCCUAAGCACUCAAAACAGUUCUUUUCAGCUGGGGAUUUAGUUCAGUGGCGUUGCCAUGCCUGCCUUGCAAGGGCAAGGUCCUGAGUUUGAUCCCCCGUACCAAAACAAAACAAAAAACAACAACAAAAAUAUUUCUUUUCAAAAAUUACUUUAAAUUCUCUCAGCUCUUCUAGAGCUGCUCUGGCAGUAUACUCCCACAUCAAAUUUCCUCACCCAGUGGAUAAUUUUUUGAUGCCUACCAUAUGCAAUGCACACAUAUCAUCAGAUCUCCAGUACAAAAUUGAUUCAGCACAGAUUGUUCAGAUGUAGAAUGAUAAAGGAGUUGUAAUCCCUAAAAGCAAGAACCCUGGGAAUCUCCUGAUCCUUAGACUAGAAACCUUUCAGCUAAUAUAAAAAUGGGCCUGGUUUUUCUGGAAGGGAGAACUGAGGGUCGCUUAGCUGAAAGUUGUCUCCUGUGAAAGGAUUAUUGUCUUUUUUCUUACAGUCAAAUAGUAGCAGUUUAUCACUUGGAAUUCUGUAUCUCCCACCAUUUAAAACAUGUGAGAACAUUUGUUUUGAUUUCCAGAUACAAAAGUCCCUUGAAAAAUAAGAGAAAGGUGGAGAAAACAUUUUUUUGUCCUACCCUAGCCUCAGUCAUCAUAACUGGCUCUCUAGACAAAAGGAACACUUCUGGGGGUGGAGGGAAAUGAGGUAUCCAUAGUGAGCCUGCAACCCUUAAGAGAAAAGCUCCAGAGCGUGAAGACAAUUUGGCCUCCCUCCUCCUUUUCAGGCUUUUGUUGCAUUCCUCACAGAAGAAGUUCACAAAUGCUGGAACAUGGUUUGCUAUCAGAAUGAGAAAACCUGAAGUGAAAGGAAUCUAGGGUUUUCCUUUUUCCAUGAUUCUAAUUAUAAACCUGCAGGUUGCUCAGAUGCUGAUAUUGCUGAUGUUUGAUUGGACAGACAAUAGACACACAGAGUGCAGGUCCUGGAACAGAUGGUCCUAUAGUGCCAAGAGCUAGUUGUGUUAAGAAGCCCUGAUUAGGUUGAGAUUAUCCAUGGGGAAAUGAUUUCAAAUAUGGAGGGAUUUGGGAAGAAUUUGUUGUCAUCCACCAGGCAUAUUGGACUAGGACACAUUGCAUUCAGUAAUAUAUGAGUAAAUUUCUUUCUGAUCCUAGGACUUGGUGAUUUCCCCUAUGGAUUAGGACAAACAACCCCCUAGAGGUCUCCUGUACUUACAUUAACAAGCUACUUUCAUCAUGGACACUGGUGGGAUGCAUUUCCUAUAGAUGGUUUAACUACUUUGGGUGUCUAUGGAACAGUAAUAUAGCAAUGAGGAUUCUGGAAGCUAUUUAAAUGUUUUCCAAAGGAACAAGACCCACACUGCUCCCCAGAGUUCAGUUCCUGUGGCCUUACAGUGAGGAGCCAGGGCAAUAGAUUGCUGGGUGCUUAAAAUCCUCCCUCAACAAAACCUUAUAGGCACUUUAUAAAGAACUGAGGAGUGAGCAUGCACUCUCGGUGGGACCCUGUGUGGUGUGUGUUCAUGCUGGACUCAUUGCUCAACUCUACAUAAAAAGUACUAAAUGUGGGGUACUGGGAAAACCAAAGAAGCAGUGGCUGCGAUACCAAAGUUG
This is a long non-coding RNA of Heterocephalus glaber (naked mole-rat), 4258 nucleotides long. Lineage: Eukaryota; Metazoa; Chordata; Mammalia; Rodentia; Bathyergidae. The record is from Ensembl.